RNAcentral lists this ribosomal RNA (484 nucleotides) under uncultured bacterium. Its description in RNAcentral is "partial 16S ribosomal RNA". It matches the Rfam family "Bacterial small subunit ribosomal RNA", at positions 30 to 507 of the family's 1533-position model. The record is from RNAcentral.
AUUGAACGCUGGCGGCAGGCCUAACACAUGCAAGUCGAGCGGAUGAAGGGAGCUUGCUCCUGGAUUCAGCGGCGGACGGGUGAGUAAUGCCUAGGAAUCUGCCUGGUAGUGGGGGAUAACGUCCGGAAACGGGCGCUAAUACCGCAUACGUCCUGAGGGAGAAAGUGGGGGAUCUUCGGACCUCACGCUAUCAGAUGAGCCUAGGUCGGAUUAGCUAGUUGGUGGGGUAAAGGCCUACCAAGGCGACGAUCCGUAACUGGUCUGAGAGGAUGGUCAGUCACACUGGAACUGAGACACGGUCCAGACUACUACGGGAGGCAGCAGUGGGGAAUAUUGGACAAAGGGCGAAAGCCUGAUCCAGCCAUGCCGCGUGUGUGAAGAAGGUCUUCGGAUUGUAAAGCACUUUAAGUUGGGAGGAAGGGCAGUAAGUUAAUACCUUGCUGUUUUGACGUUACCAACAGAAUAAGCACCGGCUAACUUCGUG